UGUAUCUAAAGUCCACUGAUAUGGAAUGUAAACGGUAGCCUACUACAGUUGCUAGGGAGGGACUAGCUGUGGGGAUAUCAUUUUCCCUACAAGUGGUUUGUGCGCGUGAUCUGACAUGUAGGAACAGAUUCCACUGGCAGUUCGAUGCUGUGUCAUUUAUUUACUUCUGCAUCUAACAGGCAAAGUGUCUCUGCAGGACUCUGCAAUUGAGUUCAGUCGUGUUGUUGGAGACUCCAUCAUCUUGCCAUGCAUCUAUGUGAAGCAACAGCCAAGUACUGAUGUA
Molecule: long non-coding RNA, 283 nt
Organism: Onychostoma macrolepis
Lineage: Eukaryota; Metazoa; Chordata; Actinopteri; Cypriniformes; Cyprinidae
Exons: 3
Source: RefSeq, a predicted model, not a curated record